AGUCCACAUCGACGGGGAGGUUUGGCACCUCGAUGUCGGCUCAUCACAUCCUGGGGCUGUAGUAGGUCCCAAGGGUUGGGCUGUUCGCCCAUUAAAGUGGUACGCGAGCUGGGUUCAGAACGUCGUGAGACAGUUCGGUCCCUAUCCGUCGCAGGCGUAGGAAAUUUGAGAAGACCUGUCCUUAGUACGAGAGGACCGGGAUGGACGUACCUCUGGUGUACCAGUUGUCCUGCCAAGGGCAUGGCUGGGUAGCUAUGUACGGAAUGGAUAAGCGCUGAAAGCAUCUAAGCGCGAAGCCAACUUCAAGAUAAGAUUUCCCACCGCAAGGGUAAGACUCCAGAAAGACUAUCUGGUUGAUAGGUCGAAGGUGUAAGUGCAGCAAUGUAUUUAGCUUAUCGAUACUAAUAGGUCGAGGACUUGACCAAU
This 426-nucleotide ribosomal RNA is filed under the name Clostridioides difficile. RNAcentral's name for it is "partial 23S ribosomal RNA". It matches the Rfam family "Bacterial large subunit ribosomal RNA", at positions 2497 to 2925 of the family's 2925-position model. Lineage: Bacteria; Bacillati; Bacillota; Clostridia; Peptostreptococcales; Peptostreptococcaceae. The record is from RNAcentral.